UACAGAGGUCUCAAGCGUUGUUCGGAUUCAUUGGGCGUAAAGGGUGUGUAGGUGGCGCCGUAAGUCGGGUGUGAAAUUUCGGAGCUUAACUCCGAAACUGCAUUCGAUACUGCCGUGCUUGAGGACUGGAGAGGAGACUGGAAUUCCUGGUGUAGCGGUGAAAUGCGCAGAUAUCAGGAGGAACACCGGUGGCGAAGGCGGGUCUCUGGGCCGAAAUUGACGCUGAGGAGCGAAAGCGUGGGGAGCAAACAGG
Molecule: ribosomal RNA, 253 nt
Filed under: uncultured bacterium
Lineage: Bacteria
Description: partial 16S ribosomal RNA
Rfam family: Bacterial small subunit ribosomal RNA
Source: RNAcentral